UCAAAGAUUAAGCCAUGCAUGUCUCAGUACAAGCCAAAUUAAGGUGAAACCGCGAAAGGCUCAUUAAAUCAGUUAUGGUUCCUUAGAUCGUACCCACAAUUACUUGGAUAACUGUGGUAAUUCUAGAGCUAAUACAUGCAAACAGAGCUCCGACCGGAGACGGAAGGAGUGCUUUUAUUAGAUCAAAACCAAUCGGUGGCGGGUUCGCUCGUUAUCGUACAACUUGGUGACUCUGAAUAACUUUACGCUGAUCGCACGGUCAUCGCACCGGCGACGCAUCUUUCAAAUGUCUGCCUUAUCAACUGUCGAUGGUAGGUUCUGCGCCUACCAUGGUUGUAACGGGUAACGGGGAAUCAGGGUUCGAUUCCGGAGAGGGAGCCUGAGAAACGGCUACCACAUCCAAGGAAGGCAGCAGGCGCGCAAAUUACCCACUCCCGGCACGGGGAGGUAGUGACGAAAAAUAACGAUACGGGACUCAUCCGAGGCCCCGUAAUCGGAAUGAGCACACUCUAAACCCUUUAACGAGGAUCAAUUGGAGGGCAAGUCUGGUGCCAGCAGCCGCGG
RNAcentral lists this ribosomal RNA (564 nucleotides) under Trigonopterus enam. RNAcentral's name for it is "SSU rRNA". It matches the Rfam family "Eukaryotic small subunit ribosomal RNA", at positions 37 to 579 of the family's 1831-position model. Lineage: Eukaryota; Metazoa; Arthropoda; Insecta; Coleoptera; Curculionidae. The record is from RNAcentral.